GACUAUAAAGCGAGACUCUUUGCCUGAAACAUACCAACAAGCAGAAAAUAAACUACCCAAAAGACAUUUCUAUCAAGUCUACCUUCAUUUUAAGACCUAAAAAGUCCGCCACUUUCCCUUAAAAAAAAAAAAGAGUAGAUUUUUCUUAAUUUCCAUCUAGCUAGUUUGAUUACCAUUAAGAAUGGAAAAUUCUACCAUUAAGUUGUCAGUAGAACUUCCGAUUCAGAUACUAAUGCAAUUCACUCGAUUUGAAAUUUAUCAUUUAUGGAUAAAGCGACUUAAACUUCAAAUUAGCAAAUUUAACUUUCAAAGAAGUACAAUUCUCUUUAGAUUUAGUAUAAAAUUUUUCAUGUACGAUCAAUUCCAAUGUUUAAAGAAAACAUCCAUAUUUAUACCAGGGAAGUUAAGAAGAUCUGGA
Molecule: unclassified non-coding RNA, 418 nt
Filed under: Hevea brasiliensis (rubber tree)
Lineage: Eukaryota; Viridiplantae; Streptophyta; Magnoliopsida; Malpighiales; Euphorbiaceae
Source: RNAcentral